This is a microRNA precursor of Oreochromis aureus, 59 nucleotides long. Lineage: Eukaryota; Metazoa; Chordata; Actinopteri; Cichliformes; Cichlidae. The record is from Ensembl.
UGAUUGUUCAUCUGGACGUAACGUUUUCAGUGGGAGAAACGUCCAGAUGAACAAUCAAC